This 23-nucleotide non-coding RNA is filed under the name Arabidopsis thaliana (thale cress). Lineage: Eukaryota; Viridiplantae; Streptophyta; Magnoliopsida; Brassicales; Brassicaceae. The record is from RNAcentral.
GGAUCAACCAGGUAGCAUUCAUC